GCACAAGCGGUGGAUGAUGUGGUUUAAUUCGAUGCAACGCGAAAAACCUUACCCACCUUUGACAUGGCAGGAAUCCCGAAGAGAUUUGGGAGUGCUCGAAAGAGAACCUGCACACAGGUGCUGCAUGGCUGUCGUCAGCUCGUGUCGUGAGAUGUUGGGUUAAGUCCCGCAACGAGCGCAACCCUUGCCAUUAGUUGCUACGAAAGGGCACUCUAAUGGGACUGCCGGUGACAAACCGGAGGAAGGUGGGGAUGACGUCAAGUCCUCAUGGCCCUUAUAGGUGGGGCUACACACGUCAUACAAUGGCCGGUACAGAGGGUAGCCAACCCGCGAGGGGGAGCCAAUCCCACAAAGCCGGUCGUAGUCCGGAUCGCAGUCUGCAACUCGACUGCGUGGAGUCGGAAUCGCUAGUAAUCGCGGAUCAGCAUGUCGCGGUGAAUACGUUCCCGGGUCUU
Molecule: ribosomal RNA, 455 nt
Filed under: uncultured Allobrachymonas sp.
Lineage: Bacteria; Pseudomonadati; Pseudomonadota; Betaproteobacteria; Burkholderiales; Comamonadaceae
Description: bacterial SSU rRNA
Rfam family: Bacterial small subunit ribosomal RNA
Source: RNAcentral